AUCUAAUGUGGCAGAAUAGUGCAAUGGAUUUAAGGCCCAUAUAUAAGGCAAAGCUUUCUUUAGA
This 64-nucleotide transfer RNA is filed under the name Elateridae sp. 2 ACP-2013. RNAcentral describes it as "tRNA-Leu". The record is from RNAcentral. Lineage: Eukaryota; Metazoa; Arthropoda; Insecta; Coleoptera; Elateridae.